CAGGGCAGAGGUGUCACCUGGCUCCAACCCCCCUCCUGGGUUCUCAUGUUACGUGCUCAGGUAUCAUCCCUCAAGGCAAGUCUCCCAUCCCCACUGCAGCCAGUCCCAGCAAAACUCCCCUGCAACCUUCCCAGGUCAAUACUCCCCACUCACUGCUGGGUCACAGG
This is a long non-coding RNA of Gopherus evgoodei (Goodes thornscrub tortoise), 167 nucleotides long. RefSeq lists it as uncharacterized. The transcript has 3 exons. Lineage: Eukaryota; Metazoa; Chordata; Testudines; Testudinidae. The record is from RefSeq and is a predicted model, not a curated record.